Long non-coding RNA from Vitis riparia (riverbank grape), 330 nucleotides. RefSeq lists it as uncharacterized. The record is from RefSeq and is a predicted model, not a curated record. Lineage: Eukaryota; Viridiplantae; Streptophyta; Magnoliopsida; Vitales; Vitaceae. The transcript is spliced from 2 exons.
ACACCAUGUCCUUCCAGUCCGAGUAUCUCAAAAUCGACCGUAAUGACCCAGAUGGAGUUGCAGGUUUCCCACUUUCUUCAGGUGACCAGAGCAAACAGAGGAAACCUUGAUGCUGUCGGGCUUGUUCAUGGAACACCAAUCCCUAAUAUGCAGCUCUGGCGGGUUGCUCUAGCCAACCUAAAUCUGAUAUGACAUUUGGGCAGUUGGUAGAUAGUUUAAGCUUAAUUUUUUCAAAAUUUAGUUGAGGUUGGCUCCAACAAAAAGCAACUUGAGCUUAAUCCAAAACUGGUUUAGCAUUUUUAUAAUUUAUAUUACUAUACAUAAGUGUUA